GGAUGUGAGGGCGAUCUGGCCACAACAUCUGUCAUCCCACUGAUCACCAGCGUUGGUUCAGCUGAUCUGGCUGGCUAGGUGGGUGUCCUUCCUCCUUACCGCUCUAUGUGCGUCCCUUCUGAAGCUGAGAGCUCCAUCGAAGAGGAUGACCUUCCCUGCUAGAGGAGGACCGUUCUUCAGUCAAGCGUAUACGAGUAGCUGCGCUCCCCUGCUAGAACCUCCAAACAAGCUCUCACGAAGGCAAAAAUGCCGCCUACUCAAUAGGAGAAAGUAUUUGGAAAUCACAUAUCUGACAAGGAAUUAAUAUACAGAAAU
This 315-nucleotide small nuclear RNA is filed under the name Dasypus novemcinctus (nine-banded armadillo). RNAcentral describes it as "7SK RNA (ENSDNOG00000035881.1)". It matches the Rfam family "7SK RNA". Rfam says of the family: 7SK was discovered as an abundant small nuclear RNA in the mid-70s but a possible function has only recently been suggested. Two independent studies have found that 7SK RNA binds the CDK9/cyclin T complex (known as elongation factor P-TEFb). Lineage: Eukaryota; Metazoa; Chordata; Mammalia; Cingulata; Dasypodidae. The record is from RNAcentral.